GACUAGAGUUCCUGACCUCCAGGCCAGUCCCUGAUUCCUGACCUAAUGUCACCGAGCAAUGAUGAACACUGCCUGGCCCUGGAGCCACUGGGAGGCCAACAAGGGAAUCCACGCCUGCUGGGGUGGGGAGCCCGGGAGGGCCCGGGAGAAGCACAAAGGGUGGGCUGUGCUGAGCUUCUUCUUUUCUUCCAGUAAAGAGACUGGAGAGGAGCUGGGCCCAGGGCUCCUCAGAGCAGGAACUCCACUAUGCAUCUCUGCAGAGGCUGCCAGUGCCCAGCAGUGAGGGACCUGACCGCAGGCACAGAGACAAGAGAGGCACCAAGGAGGAUCCCAGAGCUGACUAUGCCUGCAUUGCUGAGAACAAACCCACCUGAGCACCCCAGACACCUUCCUCAACCCAGGCGGGUGGACAGGGUCCCCCUGUGGUCCAGGCAGUAAAAACCAUGGUCCCCCCA
RNAcentral lists this small RNA (455 nucleotides) under Pongo abelii (Sumatran orangutan). RNAcentral describes it as "retained intron". Lineage: Eukaryota; Metazoa; Chordata; Mammalia; Primates; Hominidae. The record is from RNAcentral.